GACGAACUGUCCUAACGUUGUUCGGAAUCACUGGGCUUAAAGGGCGCGUAGGCGGUCCAACAAGUCAGGGGUGAAAUCCUGCAGCUCAACUGCAGAAGUGCCUUUGAUACUGUUGGUCUUGAGGGAGAUAGGGGUGUGCGGAACUCACAGUGGAGCGGUGAAAUGCGUUGAUAUUGUGAGGAACGCCGGAGGCGAAAGCGGCGCACUGGAUCUCUUCUGACGCUGAGGAGCGAAAGCGUGGGGAGCGAACAGG
RNAcentral lists this ribosomal RNA (253 nucleotides) under uncultured bacterium. RNAcentral's name for it is "partial 16S ribosomal RNA". It matches the Rfam family "Bacterial small subunit ribosomal RNA", at positions 524 to 776 of the family's 1533-position model. The record is from RNAcentral.